Molecule: long non-coding RNA, 864 nt
Organism: Homo sapiens (human)
Lineage: Eukaryota; Metazoa; Chordata; Mammalia; Primates; Hominidae
Source: Ensembl
GACGGUUGUGCCUGGCACAUAACAGACACUCAAAAAAUACCUUCUGAAUAGACAAGCAUCAAAGUGCAAGGCAGGAGUGAAGUUGGAAUGGAAGAGCAAGGAAAUCUAGGAAAAGAGCUUCAAAAUCCUUUUAUAUGUAUCCAUCUAAUCCUUGAGGUGGGUAUGAGCCUCUUUUGGCGGUCGGCAAGGAUGGGAAAGAUGACAUGAUUUCACGACUCAUAAAGAAAGUGAUGGAGCUGUAGCUUGAAUUCUUUUACUUCAAAUCCACAAUGCCAUGCCUUGCUCCAGUGAAGGACGGACUGCUGUUCUGUCUCCUAAAACCCACACAGCUCGCCUGGAGCUUCAAAUGUGAGAACACAUUCCAGCUGCAGGAUCAGAGGACUUUUCCUACAGCCCAUAAGUGCCUGCAGCUCUAUCGGAUUUGCAAAUCUACAAAAGAGAGCACAUCCUAUUGUUCCCGGUUUUGAGUUUUUUUAAUAGUAUGUCUUGUAAAAUGCUGGUUGCUGGUGGACAGGGGUGUUUUACAGAUAGGUGUGACUCAGGAGGGGAAAUGGGUGGGCAGAGACAGCCACAAGGAAUUCCACACAUGAAGGAAAUGCUCCCACUUGUGUUUUCUAUUUGUGUUUUAAAUUUGGGGAGCGACUCACAGGCACUCAGCAAAAGUAACUAAUUAUAUUAACCUUAUCAGUAGUGAGGUUUCCUGGUCUCUCAUCAGACACUCAGCUCACUGGCUGGUAUUUAAUUGGGAGCCUGGUGGCCAGUGAAAACAGUGUGGGAUGAGUCACACUUUAACAAGUUUUUAUAGUACAGCAACCUUGCUGUAUAAUAGCCAGACAUUAUUAAAAUUCAGAUAUGGUACACUGA